UGGGGAAUAUUGGACAAUGGGCGAAAGCCUGAUCCAGCCAUGCCGCGUGUGUGAAGAAGGUCUUCGGAUUGUAAAGCACUUUAACUUGGGAGGAAGGGCAGUAAGCGAAUACCUUGCUGUUUUGACGUUACCGACAGAAUAAGCACCGGCUAACUCUGUGCCAGCAGCCGCGGUAAUACAGAGGGUGCAAGCGUUAAUCGGAAUUACUGGGCGUAAAGCGCGCGUAGGUGGUUCGUUAAGUUGAAUGUGAAAGCCCCGGGCUCAACCUGGGAACGGCAUCCAAAACUGGGGAGCUAGAGGAGGGCAGAGGGUGGUGGGCUUUCGUGUGUAGCGGUGAAAUAGGUAGAUAUAGGAAGGAACACCAGUGGGGAAGGCGGCCACCUGGGCUAAUACUGACACUAAAGUGCGAAAGCGUGGGGAGCAAACGGG
RNAcentral lists this ribosomal RNA (429 nucleotides) under Pseudomonadota bacterium. RNAcentral's name for it is "Proteobacteria bacterium partial 16S ribosomal RNA". It matches the Rfam family "Bacterial small subunit ribosomal RNA", at positions 355 to 776 of the family's 1533-position model. Lineage: Bacteria; Pseudomonadati; Pseudomonadota. The record is from RNAcentral.